CAGCCGCCGCGGUAAUACGUAGGUGGCAAGCGUUGUCCGGAAUUAUUGGGCGUAAAGGGCUCGCAGGCGGUUUCUUAAGUCUGAUGUGAAAGCCCCCGGCUCAACCGGGGAGGGUCAUUGGAAACUGGGAAACUUGAGUGCAGAAGAGGAGAGUGGAAUUCCACGUGUAGCGGUGAAAUGCGUAGAGAUGUGGAGGAACACCAGUGGCGAAGGCGACUCUCUGGUCUGUAACUGACGCUGAGGAGCGAAAGCGUGGGGAGCGAACAGAAUUAGAUACCCCCGUAGUCCCUGUCUCUUAUAC
RNAcentral lists this ribosomal RNA (301 nucleotides) under uncultured bacterium. Its description in RNAcentral is "partial 16S ribosomal RNA". It matches the Rfam family "Bacterial small subunit ribosomal RNA", at positions 509 to 807 of the family's 1533-position model. The record is from RNAcentral.